Molecule: non-coding RNA, 138 nt
Organism: Deltaproteobacteria bacterium
Lineage: Bacteria; Pseudomonadati; Myxococcota; Myxococcia
Source: Rfam
UUGCGGGUGCAAGUCCCGCCCGGGUAGCCGCCGAAGGGCCCGGUAGCAGGCGCCAGCGCCGAGGAGAGAUCCUCGUCGCCGAGCGGCGCGUCGAAAGCCUCGUCAAAGGAGGGAGCAAAGGAGCGGGCCGCAACCCGU